ACUCAAAUGAAUAGACGGGGACCUGCACAAGUGGUGGAACAUGCGGUUUAAUUCGAUGUCACGCGAAAAACCUUACCAACUCUUGACAUGGUGGUCGCGAGGUGCAGAAAUGUACUUCUUCGGUUCGGCCGGACCACACACAGGUGUUGCAUGGCCGUCGUCAGCUCGUGUUGUGAGAUGUUAGGUUAAGUCCUGCAACGAGCGCAACCCCUAUUCUUAUUUACCAGCGGGUAAUGCCGGGGACUAUAAGAAAACUGCUAGCGAUAAGCUGGAGGAAGGUGGGGAUGAAGUCAGGUCAGCAUGGCCCUUAUGGGUUGGGCUACACGCGUGUUACAAUGAUAGUUACAAAGGGCUACAAAAGAGCGAUCUGGAGUAAAUCCCAAAAAAACUAUCUUAGUGCGGAUUGCACUCUGCAACUCGGGUGCAUGAAGUUGGAAUCACUAGUAAUCGCAGAUCAGCACGCUGCGGUGAAUACGUUCACAGGUCUUGUACACACCGCCCGU
Molecule: ribosomal RNA, 503 nt
Filed under: uncultured bacterium
Lineage: Bacteria
Description: partial 16S ribosomal RNA
Rfam family: Bacterial small subunit ribosomal RNA
Source: RNAcentral